GCCCUCUCCUUCUUUCUCACUUAGAGAGAGAAGUCAUCUUCCACCUUGCUGUGCUCCGGUGACCAGUGGUCGGCGCUGUCUCCGGCGACCGGACUCCGGCGAACGGUGACCGGAUUCCGGCGACCGGUGACCGGAUUCAGGAAACCGGUAACCGAAAUCCGGCGACAGAUGACUGGAAUCCGGAAUCCGGCUAUUAUUGCCCCCCAGUAAUCAUAUUAC
This 219-nucleotide long non-coding RNA is filed under the name Rosa chinensis. RNAcentral describes it as "sRNA RchiOBHm_Chr3g0459901". The record is from RNAcentral. Lineage: Eukaryota; Viridiplantae; Streptophyta; Magnoliopsida; Rosales; Rosaceae.